GGUGCUAUAGUGUAGUGGUCAUCACUCGGGAUUUUGAUUGCUAAUCUCUUCCCGAAACCCAGGUUCGAACCCUGGUAGCACCU
This is a non-coding RNA of Paramarasmius palmivorus, 83 nucleotides long. NCBI's taxonomy places the organism in Eukaryota, Fungi, Basidiomycota, Agaricomycetes, Agaricales, Marasmiaceae. The record is from the annotation of a GenBank genome assembly.